This 884-nucleotide ribosomal RNA is filed under the name bacterium NTN04. Its description in RNAcentral is "bacterial SSU rRNA". It matches the Rfam family "Bacterial small subunit ribosomal RNA". The record is from RNAcentral.
UUAGAGCUUGCUCCCAUGGAGUACGGCGGCAGGGUGAGUAACACGUGGGUAACCUGCCCAUAAGACUGGGAUAACUCCGGGAAACCGGGGCUAAUACCGGAUAACAUUUUGAACCGCAUGGUUCGAAAUUGAAAGGCGGCUUCGGCUGUCACUUAUGGAUGGACCCGCGUCGCAUUAGCUAGUUGGUGAGGUAACGGCUCACCAAGGCAACGAUGCGUAGCCGACCUGAGAGGGUGAUCGGCCACACUGGGACUGAGACACGGCCCAGACUCCUACGGGAGGCAGCAGUAGGGAAUCUUCCGCAAUGGACGAAAGUCUGACGGAGCAACGCCGCGUGAGUGAUGAAGGCUUUCGGGUCGUAAAACUCUGUUGUUAGGGAAGAACAAGUGCUAGUUGAAUAAGCUGGCACCUUGACGGUACCUAACCAGAAAGCCACGGCUAACUACGUGCCAGCAGCCGCGGUAAUACGUAGGUGGCAAGCGUUAUCCGGAAUUAUUGGGCGUAAAGCGCGCGCAGGUGGUUUCUUAAGUCUGAUGUGAAAGCCCACGGCUCAACCGUGGAGGGUCAUUGGAAACUGGGAGACUUGAGUGCAAGAAGAGGAAAGUGGAAUUCCAUGUGUAGCGGUGAAAUGCGUAGAGAUAUGGAAGAACACCAGUGGCGAAGGCGACUCUCUGGUCUGUACCUGACACUGAGGCGCAAAAGCGUGGGGAGCAAACAGGAUAAAUACCCUGGUUUCCACCCGUAAACAUAAGUGCUAUGUUAAAGGUUUCCCUUUUGCUAAUUACCCUAACACCCCCUGGGAGUCGCGCAGGUUAACACAAGAUAACGGCCCCAACGGACAUUGUUUCAACACAANUACCAGUGACCUUACACUAAAGGUNCUG